RNAcentral lists this long non-coding RNA (792 nucleotides) under Lathyrus oleraceus (garden pea). RNAcentral's name for it is "Pisum sativum (pea) long non-coding RNA (PSAT_LNC009381)". Lineage: Eukaryota; Viridiplantae; Streptophyta; Magnoliopsida; Fabales; Fabaceae. The record is from RNAcentral.
CCCAUGGGACCCCCACUCUCCUGAUUCGUAUUCUUCUGACCGAUCUGUUUGCAUAAAUCAGAGAGAACAGCGCUUUGUUGUUGCAUCUGUUGAGCUAACGUCUGCAGUGUUGCUUUGACGUCCACCAUCUGUGUUUCGACGUCAACCAUCUGUGUUUCCAACGCGUCCAUACGAUCCCCCAUCUUGGGCUUUCGUGGCAUCUACAAUUUCGGUGUGGUGGUGAUUUUUUUGAUCCGGUAGGUCGGACCAAUUGUUAGGUUCUUAUAUGAAUAUAUGGAAGAAAUAGAGAAUAAUUGAAUGGAAUAAUAAAAGAAUGAAUCGAUUGUAAAAUAAUAAUGAAAUUAACAACUGAUGGUGAAUACCAAUCAGCCCCUAAGCACACAGUGCUUCCCUCACCAAGAUGGUGAAUCCUAAUUGAUUUCCUUGAUACUUAAAUCCUACCUUUCUGUCCUCUUUUAUAGCCACAAGCUUAUUCCUAUUUUAUCGAAACAAACCCCCCUAAUUAAAAUAACAAACUUCUGUAAUAACUAAUUCCUAUAAUACCUAUUUUAUCGAAACAAACCCCCCUAAUUAAAAUAACAAACUUCUGUAAUAACUAAUUCCUAUAAUAACUCUAACAAACUCCUAUGAUUAUUUCUUUUAUUCUUUUAUUCUUUUACUUCUCUUGUAACUGUCCAGGCCCACCACUUGAUCCAUCUUUCUAUCACAAUCCAAGGUUGUAUCUGAACCUAUGUUUGAUGUAUACAUAUUUGCGAGUCUUAUAAAUGCCUAGUUAUUCCCACCAAAGUUUAG